AACGUAGGUGGCGAGCGUUAUCCGGAUUUACUGGGCGUAAAGCGCACGUAGGCGGCUUUCUAAGUCGGGGGUGAAAUCCUGGAGCUCAACUCCAGAACUGCCUUCGAUACUGGAAAGCUCGAGUCCGGGAGAGGUGAGUGGAACUGCGAGUGUAGAGGUGAAAUUCGUAGAUAUUCGCAAGAACACCAGUGGCGAAGGCGGCUCACUGGCCCGGUACUGACGCUGAGGUGCGAAAGCGUGGGGAGCAAACAGG
This 253-nucleotide ribosomal RNA is filed under the name uncultured bacterium. RNAcentral's name for it is "partial 16S ribosomal RNA". It matches the Rfam family "Bacterial small subunit ribosomal RNA", at positions 524 to 776 of the family's 1533-position model. The record is from RNAcentral.